Molecule: long non-coding RNA, 814 nt
Organism: Acinonyx jubatus (cheetah)
Lineage: Eukaryota; Metazoa; Chordata; Mammalia; Carnivora; Felidae
Exons: 4
Source: RefSeq, a predicted model, not a curated record
UUUGAUCUUUGGCUUCCAGGAGCUCACAUCUAGUGGGUCAAUGCAGAGUAAGCAAUAGCAGGUGCCCACAAAGAGCUAUGAAAAAAUGCUGCCCCUACCCCACUUACCCUACCUACAAGAUGAGGAAUCUGAGGCUCAGAGGAUGCAGACAUCGUGUCCAUGGUACCCAUGUCAGAAACCGUUAAAGUAGCCAGGAGACACGAAAUCAGACUUCUCGCCACCAAACUCUGCUUAGAAGACAUGAACCACAACCCGCAGGCCUCCUGAGAACCUGUCUGACGAAAUAAGAUGUCACGUAUUUAGCUGUCUUGUGGAGAAGCCCACAUGGCUUCCAGCCAACAGCCAAUGAGGAACAGAAUCUCAUCAACGAUCAUGUGAAUGAGCUUAGAAACGGUUCCUUCCCCAGUCGAGCUUAAGAUGACUACAGCCCCAGCCAGCACCUUCACUGCAGCCUGGGAGAGAUCUUGAGCAAGGAGCCCCAGCGAAGCCAUGCCUGCAUGCCUGACCUACCCAAGCAGUGAGAUAAUAAAUGUUUUAAGCCACUAAAUUGGGGGGAAAAUUCGUUAUGUGGCAAUAGAUCACUAAUGUAUAUCCUUUGCCCAUGUUUUUUUAAAUUUUUUGAUUUGUAGACAUUCUAUACAAUACAGUUGAAAAGUCCUUUGUGUGUGAUACAUGUCACAACUAUUUUCUAGUAAUCUUUUGCUUACUAUUAAUUUUGUUUACUUGUGUAUUUUAUUAUACAGACUUCAAAGUUUUGAUGUCUUCAAAUCAUUUAUUUGAAUUUCAUUUGAAAGACUUCAUGCACAUCUUUUCU